CACCCUCGCCGCUUCCCUCAGACUGGAAGCAGGCGCGGGUGGGGCAGGGAAUGGAGGGACGCCGCGCGCCCGGAUGCCAUUGCGCAUGCGCUCGGCGGCCCGUGCGCCUUUGCGAGAGGCUUGACUGAGGACUCCGGGACCUCCGGCGGCGUGGGGCGCAAGUUCCCCCGGCGCAAGGCGGGAAGGCGCGCGCCCAGCUGCGCUUUGACAGAAACAAGAAAUCCAUCCCAUUUCUUCAGCGUAAAUGUUUGUUGGUAUGGGUGUCAGAGCUGCAUCUUGCAAACCCAGCUUACAAAAUUCCACUUCCAAGACCAGUGUCUUCAUGAGGAAGAAUGACUCUUAGUGGAAGGACCUCUCUCUCUCAUUGGACGUGACAUACAGAAGGCUCUCAGAAAAGAUUUGCUGUUUGAAAUUCCAUGGACACUGCCUGUCAGCUUUAUCUAAGCGUUGAGACAAGUGGUGAUCACACUAUAUACCAAAUUGAAUUCUGGUUGGAAUAAGGAGUUAAAUAUGAAGGAUUAAAAAAAUCAAGGAUGUGAAUGCAGCCAAGUGUGUGACCACUCUCCCUUCCAGAACCUGGGGCAGGCAGAUCACACUAAUGGAUCACAGUUUUGUUUCCCUCCGGACUCUUCUUGCCGUACUACUCCAGCCAUUCAAAUGUUGAAGAAGGAGCAACUUUCUUUUGUUCUGUUUCCUGCCUUCAGACCAGACCUGUGGACAACAAGGCUCUUAGAUAAGUUCCUGGCACAGAGCUUCUAAAAUCAUUUGACUGUCCUGAGUGAUGGGAUUGUCUUUUGCUGUUUAUUAGAAGCCCCUUUCAACCACAGGACCUCCUCUGACAUCUGUAGACCUGCAAGCAAAUCCACUAGGUCCAUGGGAAUCAACAGCCCUGGGGACAAUUGUCAUCCAGUGAAGGAUGCAAACCAGUGGAUAAAAGCUCUCAUCUUUCAGGUGUUCUGUUCUGGGAGGCAUUCUGUAUGUUUCUCUGAGGUUCUGGCAGAAGUGAGACCCUCAAUAACAGAAUGCCUCCCAGAACAGAACACCUUUCCCUUGUCUCGUUUCUGUUUUCUAGGAUCACCUCCCAAAUAAACUACAUGAACCCAAGUAUUUAUCUCAGGCUCUGCUUUUUGGGAAACCUAAACUUGGUGGUUGGUACCAGGAGUGACCCUAGGUGUACACCCUCAGGAUGGGAUUCUGGAACCAAAUCACUCA
This is a non-coding RNA of Vicugna pacos (alpaca), 1212 nucleotides long. NCBI's taxonomy places the organism in Eukaryota, Metazoa, Chordata, Mammalia, Artiodactyla, Camelidae. The record is from RefSeq and is a predicted model, not a curated record.